Molecule: ribosomal RNA, 1494 nt
Filed under: uncultured bacterium
Lineage: Bacteria
Description: bacterial SSU rRNA
Rfam family: Bacterial small subunit ribosomal RNA
Source: RNAcentral
AGAGUUUGAUCCUGGCUCAGGACGAACGUUGGCGGCGUGCUUAACACAUGCAAGUCGAGCGGUUGAGAGGUGGGAGGUGAGAGGUUAGAAGUGGGAGAAAGAAAGGGUGAGUAACGCGUGGAUAAUCUGCCUGUAAGACAGGGAUAACGCCGGGAAACCGGUGCUAAUACCCGAUAACCUCUUUGGAUAGCAUGAUUUGAAGAGAAAAGGUGGCCUCUUUACAAUGCUACCACUUACAGAUGAAUCCGCGUCCCAUUAGCCAGUUGGUGGGGUAAAGGCCUACCAAAGCGACGAUGGGUAGCCGGCCUGAGAGAGCGGUCCUUAAUCACGGUCCAGACUCCUACGGGAGGCAGCAGUGGGGAAUCUUCCGCAAUGGGCGAAAGCCUGACGGAGCAACGCCGCGUGAGCGAAGAAGGUUUUCGGAUUGUAAAGCUCUGUGAUAUUGGACGAACGAUUUCCCGUAAAUAAUGGGAAAAACCACGGCUAACUACGUGCCAGCAGCCGCGGUAAUACGUAGGUGGCAAACGUUGUCCGGAAUUACUGGGCGUAAAGGGCGAGUAGGUGGUUUGCUAAGUCAAGAGUGAAAACUCCAGGCUCAACUCGGAGACUGCUCUACGAAACUGGUAGACUUGAGUGCAAGAGAGGGAAGUGGAAUUCCUAGUGUAGCGGUGAAAUGCGUAGAUAUUAGGAGGAACACCAGUGGCGAAGGCAGCCUCUGGCCUGUAACUGAUGCUGAGGCGCGAAAGCGUGGGGAGCAAACAGGAUUAGAUACCCUGGUAGUCCACGCUGUAAACGAUGGAUACUAGGUGUAGAAGGUAUCGACCCCCUCGGUGCCACAGCAAACACAUUAAGCUUCCCGCCUGGGGAGUACGGUCGCAAGGCUAAAACUCAAAGGAAUUGACGGGGGCCCGCACAAGCGGUGGAGCAUGUGGUUUAAUUCGAUGCAACGCGCAAAACCUUACCAGGGUUUGACAUCCACUGAAUCCUUAGGAAACUAGAGGCUGAUUCCCUUCGGGGCUGCUUACAAGGUGCUGCAUGGUUGUCGUCAGCUCGUGCCGUGAGGUGUCGGCUUAAGUCCCAUAACGAGCGCAACCCCUACAGCCAGUUGCCAGCACGUAAAGGUGGGAACUCUGGCAGAACUGCCGUUGACAAAACGGAGGAAGGUGGGGAUGACGUCAAAUCAUCAUGCCCCUUAUGUCUUGGGCUACACACGUACUACAAUGGCCGGUACAGACGGAAGCGAAGCCGCGAGGUGAAGCGAACCCGAUAAAAGUCGUCCCAGUUCGGAUUGUAGGCUGCAACUCGCCUACAUGAAGUUGGAAUCGCUAGUAAUCGCAGGUCAGCAUACUGCGGUGAAUACGUUCCCGGGCCUUGUACACACCGCCCGUCACGCCACGAAAGUCGGCAACACCCGAAGCCGGUGACUCAACCCGUAAGGGAGAGAGCCGUCGAAGGUGGGGUUGGUAAUUGGGGUGAAGUCGUAACAAGGUAACC